UGAUUGGCGUAUAUAUAGAAAUAGAAUUUGUAGAAAAUAUAUAUACGAGUAGUAUAUAGAUAUAGAUGAUGAAAGCAGGUAGGGGUGUUUAUUGGCGGCGGCGCAGGCUGAUGUGCAACAAAUCCUUGUUGACUUCACAAAAUCUACUGUUGUUGAAGUCGUCCCCACGGCCGCUAAAUUGCGUAGACCACCGCCCUCACGUUAUUACACACGCGCCAUAUAAUGAGUAUAAAGCAACAGAAAUUGAUGGAAAGUUGAUUGCAAAUGAUAUUAAAGCUACAUUAGCCACCGAAGUAUGUAAUAUGAGAAGUUCAAUACAAAAGGUACCUGGACUAGGUGUGAUAUUAGUGGGCAAAAGAGAGGACUCCCUCUCGUUUGUACGAAUCAAGAAGAAAGCUUGUGACAAGGUCGGGAUUGCCUCAGUAGUAUUAGAGCUUCCUGAAGAUUGUACACAAGUUGAAAUUCUUAAUGCUGUUGAAAUGUUGAAUCACAAAGAAUCGAUACAUGGCAUUCUCGUCCAACUACCGUUGCCCAGUCAUUUGAGCGAGGAGAAGAUUCUGAAUGCUGUCAAUGUGGAAAAAGAUGUGGAUGGAUUUCAUCCUGUCAACAUGGGAAAUCUUGCCAUGACGGGAAGGGAGCCUUUGUUUACACCUUGUGCAUCUAGAGCGUGUAUUGAGGUCCUUCACAGAUACGGUGUGGAAAUUAUAGGUAAGAAAGCAGUAGUAAUUGGGAGAAGUAUGAUUACUGGAUUACCGACUUCCUUGCUAUUGCAGAAACAUCAUGCUACAGUCAGUGUUGUACAUGCAUUCACCAGUAAUCCAGAGCAUAUAACACAUGAAGCCGACAUUUUAGUUUCAGAUGUUAGCGUUCCUAAUCUGGUCCGAGGUCACUGGUUAAAACCAGGUGUUGUGGUAAUUGACAUGGGGUCAACGUUGGUGAAGGAUAACAACAGUUCAAACGGUACCCGAGUGACAGGAGAUGUUUGCUACGACGAGGCCAUACUUAAAGCAUCAUUAAUUACUCCUGUCCCGGGAGGUGUUGGACCUGUUACCAUCUCCAUGUUACUUUCCAAUACAGUUGAAGCCGCUAAGCAUGCUUAUCAAUGGACUGAACAAUCAUGACAACGAUAUUAGUAAUUUCUUUUGUACCACUAUCAAAUGUGCAUAUUUAUAUAUAUGAUCUCUGCUUGUUCGGACAUCAAGUGUCAUAGACAGUCCACCAAAAGUGGGGUUCAGCCUACACAUACAUUGCUAAAUGCUUCCAGGUAAGUAAAUCUUUUAUUAGAAGCUAAUCGAAAUAUCUUAUUUAUUAUAUUAGAGUUGAACUUUCAACAGCAUUACUUUUUCCUUUUCUGUACAAUUACAUGCUUCUAAAGCAGGUGAUUGCAUUUGGUUCGUCUACAUUUGGUAUCCGUAUUAUCUUGAACAAGGAAUUACCGUCUGGGAUAACACGACAGUAUUCUUGUUGCAGCAAUCAGUGUCUUGGUGUGGAAUGCUCUUAUUUGGCUAAG
Erigeron canadensis is the source of this 1510-nucleotide RNA transcript. It is a transcript of the gene named bifunctional protein FolD 1, mitochondrial-like, with no coding region annotated. The record is from RefSeq and is a predicted model, not a curated record. The transcript is spliced from 6 exons. NCBI's taxonomy places the organism in Eukaryota, Viridiplantae, Streptophyta, Magnoliopsida, Asterales, Asteraceae.